This 324-nucleotide ribosomal RNA is filed under the name uncultured eukaryote. Its description in RNAcentral is "partial 18S ribosomal RNA". It matches the Rfam family "Eukaryotic small subunit ribosomal RNA", at positions 1470 to 1796 of the family's 1831-position model. The record is from RNAcentral.
CCCUUAGAUGUUCUGAACCGCACGCGUGUUACACUGAUGCAUUCAACGAGCUUUACCUUGGCCGAGAGGCCUGGGAAAUCUUUUUAGCAUGCAUCGUGAUAGGGAUUGAUUAUUGCAAUUAUUAAUCAUGAACGAGGAAUUCCUAGUAAACGCAUUUCAUCAAAAUGCUUUGAUUACGUCCCUGCCCUUUGUACACACCGCCCGUCGCACCUACCGAUUGAGUGGUCCGGUGAAGUCUCGAGAUUGUGGCAAUCUCCUUUAUUGGAGUUUGACCGCGAGAACUUGCCUAGACCUUACCACUUAGAGGAAGGUGAAGUCGUAACA